This 514-nucleotide ribosomal RNA is filed under the name uncultured Bacteroidota bacterium. RNAcentral describes it as "bacterial SSU rRNA". It matches the Rfam family "Bacterial small subunit ribosomal RNA", at positions 352 to 866 of the family's 1533-position model. Lineage: Bacteria; Pseudomonadati; Bacteroidota. The record is from RNAcentral.
CAGUGAGGAAUAUUGGUCAAUGGGCGAGAGCCUGAACCAGCCAAGUCGCGUGAAGGAAGAAGGUCCUAUGGAUUGUAAACUUCUUUUGUAAGGGAAUAAAAACAGCUACGUGUAGUCUAUUGUAGGUACUUUACGAAUAAGGAUCGGCUAACUCCGUGCCAGCAGCCGCGGUAAUACGGAGGAUCCAAGCGUUAUCCGGAUUUAUUGGGUUUAAAGGGUGCGUAGGCGGACUUUUAAGUCAGUGGUGAAAGUUUGCGGCUCAACCGUAAAAUUGCCAUUGAAACUGAGGGUCUUGAGUGUAAAUGAGGUAGGCGGAAUGUGUUGUGUAGCGGUGAAAUGCUUAGAUAUAACACAGAACACCAAUUGCGAAGGCAGCUUACUGAGAUAUAACUGACGCUGAGGCACGAAAGCGUGGGGAUCAAACAGGAUUAGAUACCCUGGUAGUCCACGCAGUAAACGAUGAUUACUAGCUGUAUGCGAUACACUGUCAUGUGCUAAGCGAAAGCGUUAAGAU